Molecule: ribosomal RNA, 465 nt
Filed under: uncultured bacterium
Lineage: Bacteria
Description: bacterial SSU rRNA
Rfam family: Bacterial small subunit ribosomal RNA
Source: RNAcentral
CUGGCGGCGCGCCUAACACAUGCAAGUCGAACGGGCGAGAGGAGCUUGCUCCUCAAGCUAGUGGCGGACGGGUGAGUAACACGUGAGCAACCUGCUUUCAGAGGGGGACAACAGUUGGAAACGACUGCUAAUACCGCAUAACAUCGUCGGACGGCAUCGUCUGAUGAUCAAAGAUUUAUCGCUGAAAGAUGGGCUCGCGUCUGAUUAGAUAGUUGGUGAGGUAACGGCCCACCAAGUCGACGAUCAGUAGCCGGACUGAGAGGUUGAACGGCCACAUUGGGACUGAGACACGGCCCAGACUCCUACGGGAGGCAGCAGUGGGGGAUAUUGGACAAUUGGGGGAAACCCUGAUCCAGCGACGCCGCGUGAGGGAAGAAGGUUUUCGGAUUGUAAACCUCUGUUGACAGGGAAGAAAAUGACGGUACCUGUUUAGAAAGCCACGGCUAACUACGUGCCAGCCGCCGC